This 253-nucleotide ribosomal RNA is filed under the name uncultured bacterium. RNAcentral describes it as "partial 16S ribosomal RNA". It matches the Rfam family "Bacterial small subunit ribosomal RNA", at positions 524 to 776 of the family's 1533-position model. The record is from RNAcentral.
UACGUAGGGUGCGAGCGUUAAUCGGAAUUACUGGGCGUAAAGCGUGCGCAGGCGGUUAUAUAAGACAGAGGUGAAAUCCCCGGGCUCAACCUGGGAACUGCAUCUGUGACUGCAUUGCUGGAGUGCGGCAGAGGGGGAUGGAAUUCCGCGUGUAGCAGUGAAAUGCGUAGAUAUGCGGAGGAACACCGAUGGCGAAGGCAAUCCCCUGGGCCUGCACUGACGCUCAUGCACGAAAGCGUGGGGAGCAAACAGG